GGCGAAGCGGUUUCCCGCCGUCAGGGAGCACGGACUUACUGACCGGUUGUUUUGAUCGUCUCGCCAUAUAUAAGUACCAAUCAUCUAUAACUUUAGGUUCUUUUGAAGACCCUGACCUGGAGUAACAUGCUGACUUCAGUUCUUUGCAAAAAUGGGACCUGCUCUCGGAGCCUCAUGACCGACCGCUUUUCGAUAUGAUAAGGACACGGCCUGGAAGAUUAGUGCGCACCCAGGGUGCUGGAUUUUCGUGGCUCUGGAGGUGGGCGAAUUCAAGGCUGAUACCGCUGCCUGAUGUGUCGUGGGAGUACAUGGGAGAUCGAAAGCAGCUGGCUGCGUGCCCAGGGACCCGAGUUAUUUGGGCACAGAGCUUGGAAAAAGCAGUGCCACAGUCUUUUAACACCAUAAAUCAGGCUCAAAGGAUCAUUGAAGACUUGAGUCACCCCAACCACAAACCGUUUCAGCUGCCGCCAUCUGGGAAAUGGUACUACAACAUAAAAGCCGGGACAGCUUCUUGCAUCAGGCCAUCAGACUGCUUAAUUCAUGCUGAAGCAACUGUAUUGCUAUGUUAUAUUGAGUAUCCUGUUAUUUAUUUAUUA
Hypanus sabinus (Atlantic stingray) is the source of this 596-nucleotide long non-coding RNA. RefSeq lists it as uncharacterized. The transcript has 3 exons. The record is from RefSeq and is a predicted model, not a curated record. NCBI's taxonomy places the organism in Eukaryota, Metazoa, Chordata, Chondrichthyes, Myliobatiformes, Dasyatidae.